Molecule: non-coding RNA, 30 nt
Filed under: Homo sapiens (human)
Lineage: Eukaryota; Metazoa; Chordata; Mammalia; Primates; Hominidae
Source: RNAcentral
GACACUGAGAUGUUCUUGGCCUGGAAUCCC